UACGUAGGGGGCGAGCGUUGUCCGGAUUUAUUGGGCGUAAAGAGCGUGUAGGCGGCCAGGUAGGUCCGUUGUGAAAACUCGAGGCUCAACCUCGAGACGUCGAUGGAAACCAUCUGGCUAGAGUCCGGAAGAGGAGAGUGGAAUUCCUGGUGUAGCGGUGAAAUGCGCAGAUAUCAGGAAGAACACCUAUGGCGAAGGCAGCUCUCUGGGACGGUACUGACGCUGAGACGCGAAAGCGUGGGGAGCAAACAGG
RNAcentral lists this ribosomal RNA (253 nucleotides) under uncultured bacterium. Its description in RNAcentral is "partial 16S ribosomal RNA". It matches the Rfam family "Bacterial small subunit ribosomal RNA", at positions 524 to 776 of the family's 1533-position model. The record is from RNAcentral.